RNAcentral lists this transfer RNA (71 nucleotides) under Ictidomys tridecemlineatus (thirteen-lined ground squirrel). RNAcentral describes it as "Spermophilus tridecemlineatus (thirteen-lined ground squirrel) tRNA". It matches the Rfam family "tRNA". Rfam says of the family: Transfer RNA (tRNA) molecules are approximately 80 nucleotides in length. Their secondary structure includes four short double-helical elements and three loops (D, anti-codon, and T loops). The record is from Rfam by way of RNAcentral. Lineage: Eukaryota; Metazoa; Chordata; Mammalia; Rodentia; Sciuridae.
GGGGUUGUGGCUCAGUGGUAGAGUGCUUGCCUAGCACGUGCGAGAGGCCCUGGGUUCGAUUCUCAGCACCA